GCCCCCAAUCGUCCAUCAAAGCAUAAGAAACAAAAAAAAAUGACUCUUUCAUUCAUGAAUAGAUGAAGGUAUACUAGAGAUCAGAGGAGAGACACCCCUCUGAGAGGAAACAUACAGUCAGUCAGCAUAUGGGUAUUUCUUUAAUGUGAAGAGGACUCGAAAAAGAAAAAUUGAAGGUCGGACUCCCGUUUGAGAGUAAAG
This 201-nucleotide long non-coding RNA is filed under the name Elaeis guineensis (African oil palm). Its description in RNAcentral is "long non-coding RNA (EGUI_LNC070748)". The record is from RNAcentral. Lineage: Eukaryota; Viridiplantae; Streptophyta; Magnoliopsida; Arecales; Arecaceae.